RNAcentral lists this long non-coding RNA (213 nucleotides) under Elaeis guineensis (African oil palm). Its description in RNAcentral is "long non-coding RNA (EGUI_LNC070438)". Lineage: Eukaryota; Viridiplantae; Streptophyta; Magnoliopsida; Arecales; Arecaceae. The record is from RNAcentral.
AUGAUAAAAAUCAUCAAAUAAAUAUUUUAUUAAUUAAUUCAUAUACAAUUACAUCAAAUAGCACAACCGUCAACAGACUGACGAUUAACUUUGUGACAUAUUUUUCAAUAACUCCUACUUGUACUAAAGCCAAUCGGUACAGUAUCGUAUACCCAUCUUCAUUUUGUGAUCUUGAACUCCUUUACCACAAGGACUUUAGUUAAUGGGUCGGUC